UGCCCAGCCCUAAACAUAGAUAAAAACCCACCCAUUUAUCCGCCUGGGAACUACGAGCGUCAGCUUAAAACCCAAAGGACUUGGCGGUGCUUUAGAUCCACCUAGAGGAGCCUGUUCUAGAACCGAUAAUCCCCGUUAAACCUCACCUCUUCUUGUCCUAUCCGCCUAUAUACCGCCGUCGUCAGCUUACUCUGUGAGGAAUUUGUAGUAAGCGUAACCGGCACAGCCUCAAACGCCAGGUCGAGGUGUAGCGAAUGGAGAGGGAAGAAAUGGGCUACAUUCAAUAACUUAUAAUGAAUACGAAUGAUAUUCUGAAAAAAAUAUCUGAAGGAGGAUUUAGUAGUAAGUAGAGAAUAGAGAGCCCUACUGAAAUUGGCCCUGAAGCGCGU
RNAcentral lists this ribosomal RNA (389 nucleotides) under Halichoeres salmofasciatus. RNAcentral describes it as "partial 12S ribosomal RNA". It matches the Rfam family "Bacterial small subunit ribosomal RNA", at positions 793 to 1384 of the family's 1533-position model. Lineage: Eukaryota; Metazoa; Chordata; Actinopteri; Labriformes; Labridae. The record is from RNAcentral.